AGUAUCCCGCCUGGGGAGUAGGCCCGCAGGUAUGAAAAUCAAAGGAAUAGACGGGGGCCGGUCCAACGGGUGGAGUAUCUGGUUUAUUUAGAUGCAACGCGAAGAACAUCACCACGGCUUUACAUCCCGCGAAGCCACGUGAAACCGUGCGGUACCUUCGGGAGCGCGGAGACAACUGGUGCAUGGCUGUCGUCAGCUUGUUUCGUGAGAUGUUGGGUUAAGUCCCGCAACGAGCGCAACCCACGUCCCUAGUUGCCAGCAUUAAUUUGGGCACUUUGGGGAGACUGCCGGGGACAACUCGGAGGAAGGUGUGGAAGACGUCAAGUCAUCAUACGCCUUACGUUCCGGGGUACACACGUACUCCAAUGCUUCGGACAAAGGGCAGCCAACUAGCGAUAGUGAGCUAAUCCCAUAAAAUGAGGCACAGUUCAGAUUGCAGGCUGCAAAUCGCCGCCACGAAAGCGGAAUCAGUGUAUACCAGGUCAUCAUAGAUCAGGAAUACGUUUCCGGCCUUUCCCACCCCCCGCCCCUCCCGGGAAUGCCUCGACCGAAGUCGUUCC
This 560-nucleotide ribosomal RNA is filed under the name Aphanocapsa sp. NTK28. RNAcentral describes it as "bacterial SSU rRNA". It matches the Rfam family "Bacterial small subunit ribosomal RNA", at positions 863 to 1433 of the family's 1533-position model. The record is from RNAcentral. Lineage: Bacteria; Bacillati; Cyanobacteriota; Cyanophyceae; Chroococcales; Microcystaceae.